RNAcentral lists this transfer RNA (78 nucleotides) under Erwinia phage pEa_SNUABM_12. Its description in RNAcentral is "tRNA-Met". It matches the Rfam family "tRNA". Rfam says of the family: Transfer RNA (tRNA) molecules are approximately 80 nucleotides in length. Their secondary structure includes four short double-helical elements and three loops (D, anti-codon, and T loops). Further hydrogen bonds mediate the characteristic L-shaped molecular structure. tRNAs have two regions of fundamental functional importance: the anti-codon, which is responsible for specific mRNA codon recognition, and the 3' end, to which the tRNAs corresponding amino acid is attached (by aminoacyl-tRNA synthetases). tRNAs cope with the degeneracy of the genetic code in two manners: having more than one tRNA (with a specific anti-codon) for a particular amino acid; and 'wobble' base-pairing, i.e. permitting non-standard base-pairing at the 3rd anti-codon position. The record is from RNAcentral. Lineage: Duplodnaviria; Heunggongvirae; Uroviricota; Caudoviricetes. RNAcentral also lists the same sequence under 1 other name.
UGCGAUGUAGAGAAACGGUUAUCUCGCAGGGUUCAUAUCCCUGAAACAGCAUGGGUUCAACUCCCGCCAUCGCAUCCA